CUUUAGGUACUUCUUCAGUAACAUUUUCUUUAAACAUAAUGUGUGAU
RNAcentral lists this non-coding RNA (47 nucleotides) under Plasmodium falciparum 3D7. Lineage: Eukaryota; Apicomplexa; Aconoidasida; Haemosporida; Plasmodiidae. The record is from RNAcentral.